GCUUUUCUCAACCUUGGUUGUAAAUAAUCAUGAAAUGUUUAUAACCAGGUUGAUAAUUGCAC
This 62-nucleotide microRNA precursor is filed under the name Caenorhabditis brenneri. RNAcentral describes it as "microRNA cbn-mir-7597 precursor". Lineage: Eukaryota; Metazoa; Nematoda; Chromadorea; Rhabditida; Rhabditidae. The record is from miRBase by way of RNAcentral.